UACGUAGGGUGCGAGCGUUGUCCGGAAUUACUGGGCGUAAAGAGCUCGUAGGUGGUUUGUCGCGUUGUCCGUGAAAACUCACAACUCAAUUGUGGGCGUGCGGGCGAUACGGGCAGACUGGAGUACUGCAGGGGAGACUGGAAUUCUUGGUGUAGCAGUGAAAUGCGUAGAUAUCAAGAGGAACACCAGUGGCGAAGGCGAGUCCCUGGACAACUUCUGACGCUGAGGCACGAAAGCUAGGGGAGCAAACAGG
This 253-nucleotide ribosomal RNA is filed under the name uncultured bacterium. RNAcentral's name for it is "partial 16S ribosomal RNA". It matches the Rfam family "Bacterial small subunit ribosomal RNA", at positions 524 to 776 of the family's 1533-position model. The record is from RNAcentral.